GAGGAAAGCUCACGAUUGGAUUGGAACUUCUAGCGACUGCCUGAGGCGCGUCCUCCGGGUCAUGGGGAAACAGAGGCAGAGACUUGGGAAGGAGAAAUGGAGAAACCAGGGCAACGUGGCCCCGGGAUUGGCUGCACCACGCAGCUGUUGUCCAGUUCCGGAGCUGCCGCGUUCAAUCCGAGUCCCUCCGAUGCUUUCACUGAUAUUAAAAUUUCACUUUUCGAA
Molecule: long non-coding RNA, 225 nt
Organism: Homo sapiens (human)
Lineage: Eukaryota; Metazoa; Chordata; Mammalia; Primates; Hominidae
Product: long intergenic non-protein coding RNA 2106
Source: Ensembl